CGCCUUGUUGCCUUAAAAGACAUCAGUUCGGUUAGUAAUAGAUACAGGAUGAGAAAAUGUGUAGUGAAAACGAGACAAUAAUACAAGUACUGACGCACUGUUAACUCGGAAAACCCCAAAGAUCUUGGUUGGUUGCUUGGUCUGUGAAAAACUUGGAGAACAAAGAGAAGCAACGUGAACAAAUGUGGUUAUAUCCCAUCAUAUAAACUUAUUUUUCCGAUUCGUUGGAUAACCUUUUUAUCCGCCUUCCAGUAUUAACAAAGGUAUAACAGUGCAUCUAUAUGUGUCCU
Molecule: long non-coding RNA, 290 nt
Filed under: Mytilus galloprovincialis (Mediterranean mussel)
Lineage: Eukaryota; Metazoa; Mollusca; Bivalvia; Mytilida; Mytilidae
Source: RNAcentral